UUUAAUUGCAACCAUAAGCUUUCGCGCCCAACUUUGAUCGUCCGUCUUAUUUGAAUUUUUUUAUAAUUAGUAUUUUUGUUGUUAUGAGAUGAUAAAACAUGAAUAGUACUUUACUCGUGACUAAUGUUUUUAAUUUUUUUUAAAAAAAUUGUCAAAUAAGAUAGACGGUCAAAAUUAGGUGCGGAAAACUAUGGCUGUAUUUAAA
Molecule: non-coding RNA, 205 nt
Organism: Oryza glumipatula
Lineage: Eukaryota; Viridiplantae; Streptophyta; Magnoliopsida; Poales; Poaceae
Source: Rfam